GGGGAAGAGGGUUUGGUAGCGCACUACGUUCGGAACGUGGGCGGGCGCAGGUUCAAAUCCUGCCACUCCG
Molecule: transfer RNA, 70 nt
Filed under: Microvirga lupini
Lineage: Bacteria; Pseudomonadati; Pseudomonadota; Alphaproteobacteria; Hyphomicrobiales; Methylobacteriaceae
Description: tRNA-Pro
Source: RNAcentral